GACGAACGCUGGCGGCGUGCUUAACACAUGCAAGUCGAACGGAAAGGCCCUGCUUUUGUGGGGUGCUCGAGUGGCGAACGGGUGAGUAACACGUGAGUAACCUGCCCUUGACUUUGGGGUAACUUCAGGAAACUGGGGCUAAUAUCGGAUAGGAGCUCCUGCUGCAUGGUGGGGGGUGGAAAGUUUCGGCUGUUGGGGCUGGACUCGCGGCUUAUCAGCUUGUUGGUGGGGUAGUGGCUUACCAAGGCUUUGACGGGUAGCCGGCCUGGGAGGGUGACCGGCCACCUUGGGACUGAGGUACGGCCCAGACUCCUACGGGAGGCAGCAGUGGGGAAUAUUGCACAAUGGGCGGAAGCCUGAUGCAGCAACGCCGCGUGCGGGAUGACGGCCUUCGGGUUGUAAACCGCUUUCGCCUGUAACGAAGCGUGAGUGACGGUAAUGGGUAAAGAAGCACCGGCUAACUACGUG
Molecule: ribosomal RNA, 468 nt
Filed under: uncultured bacterium
Lineage: Bacteria
Description: partial 16S ribosomal RNA
Rfam family: Bacterial small subunit ribosomal RNA
Source: RNAcentral